GAAUUUGGGCAGGAACACGGUCCCGCUGAAGUCAUUUGCACAGAGCAGACAGACUGGAACAAAAGCCAGAGUUCACAGAAACACUUGAGCAUGUGCUGUGGCGUGUAUGACGGGAGGCAGCAGAGGAGAAGGACCGAGACGUGAGCUCAGCGCCUCCUCUGUAAUGGAAUAGAAGGGAGUUUCACGAGGAGUCGUUUGCUGGAGUUUCCUCAGAAGUCGUGUGGCGGGUCCACUCAUGGUUGGCAUCUGGAUCCCCCCUUGCUGAGCAGGCGGACGGAGGUCACCCUGUCCCUGCUCCUCCUGAACCUCCUACUCCAGCCCUGCCUGUCUGCCUUCCCCACCCACCUCCAAGACGCCGCUGAGUCCUUUCCUCUUCUCCCUUGUGAAGCUCUACCAACCCCACCCUCCUGCCUUCCUCCUCCUGAAACCACUCCUCCACCUUUAGCUGACCAUCCUGAAGACCUUUCCUCUUCUAGCUCCCUGCAACGUCCUUCUAAGGUAGAAAUCUUUUAAUUUUUCACUCUUUUUUCUCCUUUUUCUGCUUCCUGUUGUUCCUCACUCACAGUUUUCUGACAGACUUUAAUCUGAAUCCAUUCUGUGCUGAAGCUAAACUAGAAAGUUAGCCGAUCCCUUAUCCUCCAGCCUGACGGCUCAGAGCAAACAGGAGCAUUAACCUGACAUCUGGCACACUCUCUGACCUUGUUGAUUCUCAGAGAUUACCUUUGAAUUCAUUCAGUCAUUCUUACUGAAGAAGUUUGGUUUGUUGGGUGUGAGGUAUGAGGGCUUUGAAGACUUUAAAAAGAUGAAAAGAGGUGACUUCAAUAGACAACAUCAAGUUUCUC
RNAcentral lists this long non-coding RNA (842 nucleotides) under Oryzias javanicus (javanese ricefish). RNAcentral describes it as "lncRNA (ENSOJAG00000013146.1)". The record is from RNAcentral. Lineage: Eukaryota; Metazoa; Chordata; Actinopteri; Beloniformes; Adrianichthyidae.